This 484-nucleotide ribosomal RNA is filed under the name uncultured bacterium. RNAcentral's name for it is "partial 16S ribosomal RNA". It matches the Rfam family "Bacterial small subunit ribosomal RNA", at positions 30 to 507 of the family's 1533-position model. The record is from RNAcentral.
AUUGAACGCUGGCGGCAGGCCUAACACAUGCAAGUCGAGCGGAUGAAGGGAGCUUGCUCCUGGAUUCAGCGGCGGACGGGUGAGUAAUGCCUAGGAAUCUGCCUGGUAGUGGGGGAUAACGUCCGGAAACGGGCGCUAAUACCGCAUACGUCCUGAGGGAGAAAGUGGGGGAUCUUCGGACCUCACGCUAUCAGAUGAGCCUAGGUCGGAUUAGCUAGUUGGUGGGGUAGAGGCCUACCAAGGCGACGAUCCGUAACUGGUCUGAGAGGAUGAUCAGUCACACUGGAACUGGGACACGGUCCAGACUCCUACGGGAGGCAGCAGUGGGGAAUAUUGGACAAUGGGCGAAAGCCUGAUCCAGCCAUGCCGCGUGUGUGAAGAAGGUCUUCGGAUUGUAAAGCACUUUAAGUUGGGAGGAAGGGCAGUAAGUUAAUACCUUGCUGUUUUGACGUUACCAACAGAAUAAGCACCGGCUAACUUCGUG